AGAGUUUGUUCAGGGCUCAGAUUGAACGCUGGCGGCAGGCUUAACACAUGCAAGUCGAGCGGCAGCGGAAAGAAGCUUGCUUCUUUGCCGGCGAGCGGCGGACGGGUGAGUAAUGUCUGGGGAUCUGCCCGAUGGAGGGGGAUAACUACUGGAAACGGUAGCUAAUACCGCAUAAUGUCGCAAGACCAAAGUGGGGGACCUUCGGGCCUCACACCAUCGGAUGAACCCAGAUGGGAUUAGCUAGUAGGUGGGGUAAUGGCUCACCUAGGCGACGAUCCCUAGCUGGUCUGAGAGGAUGACCAGCCACACUGGAACUGAGACACGGUCCAGACUCCUACGGGAGGCAGCAGUGGGGAAUAUUGCACAAUAGGGGAAACCCUGAUGCAGCCAUGCCGCGUGUGUGAAGAAGGCCUUCGGGUUGUAAAGCACUUUCAGCGGGGAGGAAGGCAAUGGCGUUAAUAGUGUCAUUGAUUGACGUUACCCGCAGAAGAAGCACCGGCUAACUCCGUGCCAGCAGCCGCGGUAAUACGGAGGGUGCGAGCGUUAAUCGGAAUUACUGGGCGUAAAGCGUACGCAGGCGGUCUGUUAAGUCAGAUGUGAAAUCCCCGGGCUUAACCUGGGAACUGCAUUUGAAACUGGCAGGCUAGAGUCUCGUAGAGGGGGGUAGAAUUCCAGGUGUAGCGGUGAAAUGCGUAGAGAUCUGGAGGAAUACCGGUGGCGAAGCGGCCCCCUGGACGAAGACUGACGCUCAGGUACGAAAGCGUGGGGAGCAAACAGGAUUAGAUACCCUGGUAGUCCACGCUGUAAACGAUGUCGAUUUGAAGGUUGUGGUCUUGAGCCGUGGCUUUCGGAGCUAA
Molecule: ribosomal RNA, 857 nt
Filed under: uncultured bacterium
Lineage: Bacteria
Description: bacterial SSU rRNA
Rfam family: Bacterial small subunit ribosomal RNA
Source: RNAcentral